GUUAUUGUUUAGUAUUAUCUCCAGGGAAUAUCCAAAAUGAUGUAUAUAUGCGUAACAACCAAUGAUUUAUUUAGGCCGGUCUACAUAGACUUAAUAAAUCUUAAGGACAAGCCAUGUCAUAAAUACACCGUUGUAUAACUUGGAAAAGAAACAAUCAAGAGUUAAAGUAACUAGGUAUUUUUAUGAAGCCCUCAAGCAUAACAUGAACAUCUGCACUUCUAAAUUUUCUUUCAGGUUCAACAUAUCGAUAAAAAUAAACAGAAAAGAUUUUCCUUGAACACCGCAAAGUCACUAACAAAGAAUAAAUGUUAAUUACAUGAAAUAACAAUACUGCUGCAUACAAGAGGAUAAAGUGCCUCCAUCUAGUGCUGGAAAUAAUGAAAAUGUCUAAACUGUUUAUUAAUGUAGAAGAAUGGCGCAAGAAUUAUCAUUUCAUACCGAUAUUUACAGAUCUAUAAAACACUUAAAAAGUUUUGUUUUUUAAUAU
Long non-coding RNA from Centruroides sculpturatus (bark scorpion), 487 nucleotides. RefSeq lists it as uncharacterized. The transcript has 3 exons. The record is from RefSeq and is a predicted model, not a curated record. NCBI's taxonomy places the organism in Eukaryota, Metazoa, Arthropoda, Arachnida, Scorpiones, Buthidae.